GCGGAAGUGGCGGAAUUGGUAGACGCACCAGAUUUAGUUCUGGCGCCGCAAGGUGUGAGAGUUCAGUCUCUCCUUCCGCACCA
RNAcentral lists this transfer RNA (83 nucleotides) under Vibrio parahaemolyticus RIMD 2210633. Its description in RNAcentral is "tRNA-Und (NNN) (tRNA-Und-NNN-1-1)". Lineage: Bacteria; Pseudomonadati; Pseudomonadota; Gammaproteobacteria; Vibrionales; Vibrionaceae. The record is from RNAcentral.